UUUACCAGCCUAGUAGUCAGCUGUUUGGUGUUGAUAUGAAUGGUCAUUUUUUUAUAAAAGAGGGACGAAAGAUACCAAAGGGACAGUCAAACUCAUAAAUCCAAAAUAAACUGACAACGCCAUGGCUGAAAAUGAAAAAGACAAACAGACAAACAAUAGUACACAUAAUACAACAUAGAAAACUAAAGAAUAAACAACAAGAACCCCA
Molecule: long non-coding RNA, 208 nt
Filed under: Mytilus galloprovincialis (Mediterranean mussel)
Lineage: Eukaryota; Metazoa; Mollusca; Bivalvia; Mytilida; Mytilidae
Source: RNAcentral